Molecule: long non-coding RNA, 2386 nt
Organism: Nyctereutes procyonoides (raccoon dog)
Lineage: Eukaryota; Metazoa; Chordata; Mammalia; Carnivora; Canidae
Exons: 5
Source: RefSeq, a predicted model, not a curated record
CACAGCUGUCACUAGUUUUCCUCCACAGACGUUCCCGAGGAACCUUCAAGUGUCAGGCCCUGUGCUUUCUCAGCUCCGACACCAAAAAUAAAAUCUCAAGCCCUUGGUCAGCCCUCCGUGCUGGGGAUCCCAUCUGGUGGGAAAGAUGAACUCAGAGAAAGAGGACUGAGAGAGAUGACCACACAAGGUGGUCGGAGGGGACGGGAGGGGAUGGGAGGACUGCUCUGCAGAGGUGGAGACGGGCGGGCAAGACAAGGAUCUCGGAGCAGAGCAGCAGAGGCCAGGAUGGGUCCACGGAGCGCCCUCUGCACUCACCCUGCAGCCCCUGGACCAACCCAGGCUGCAGAGCGUGGAAGCUGUGGGUGCUGGCAACGCCGGCCCAGGGCAGGGUGGACCCGUCACCCUCCAGUGUGUCCUGGCCCACUGCUUGUCACCCUCCACUGUGUCCUGGCCCACCGCUCCACUCAGCCCUGCAGCAGCCCCAGGAGGGAGGCAGAGCCAGCAAGUGAGCACAGCCCCAGGCUCAGUGGCUCCUGCUCUUCCUUUGCUGAUCCUGCAUUUCAACCAGACCUUCCAGUCAUACUUCUUUUUUUAAUGAGCGGGUGAGCCCCUGCAAGGAAGAGUGGUGUCCCUAAGUCCCGCUCAGCAGAGGUCUCCGUUUCUGGGGACAGAAUGCCGGGUCUCCCCGGGAACCAGACUGGAAAGCCCCGGCAAAAGGCCGCAAGGGGGCCUGUCACGGAGGCGGCCGGGUGGGAAAGCCUUAAGAGACGACGGGCCCUAGCUCUCCAUUUUGCAGAUGAGGAAAAACACGAUUUGGGGGCGUGGGAGCGAGAGCCCCUGGGAUCCUGGAGCUACACUGAGUGCUGAGGGGCCACUGAGGGGAUCGAUCCUCCCACAGGCCAGGCGUGUGGCCUGGUCAGCUCCUGUCCGACCCGCCUCUCCUGCACGGCCCACCUCCUCCGUGAAGCCCGCCUGUUCCACCCGGCUACCUGGCCCCCACGCUCUCACUGCUUGUCCCUGCGGCAUGAACUGACCCUUGGACACGUGAGUCUCCUUGGCUAGGGGGGCCCAGAAGACGUGGGCCUUUGGGCCCGGCUGCCCGGGCUCCAGCACUCAUGCCCGUGAACUUGCACGGCCGAGCUCACCCCUCGGAGCUUCAGCUCCCUCCUUCGUGAAGGGCAUCGGUGUCUGCUAGCCUGAUGGUAGGGCUUGGAGGAUGAAGGGCGUCACGGGAGGUCUUCAGGGGGACUCAGGUGCGUUCCGGGCCAGCCAGGAAAGCACCCCUCGCCUCUCUGCCAGUGCAGCGCACGGGAGGUCCCGGCACCACGGCAUGGGGGAGACGGGCCCCACAGGGUAGAGAAAGGCGAAUAAAAUCCAGGGGACAGGGACUAGUCUAGUGGAGUUCUCUGGGAAGCGGACUUGGGUAGCAGCAUCUCCACAGAUUCGCAAGGCUGCACGUGGGGCCCCCUCCCCUCCCCGCCUGCCCCAGAGUCAUCUAUACAGGCUCCCCUCAACCCCAAAAGCCCCUAAGCUCCAAGAACACAGAGCAUUUCUCGGUUCCUCCUAACCCCCAUGCCCUCUCUCACUUCCAGUUCUCAGUGGUUGCCAUCCCUCUGCAUCUGGAAAGUAACCCCAAACCCCAUCCUACCUCACCACGUGACUGCCGGACACAGUCUCAGGUCUCGGGUGAAAGGGCCCUUCUUCCAGGAGCCCUUUCCUAUCCCGGGGCCCCGGCCAGUCCCCCCGUUCUCAGAGUCGUCCUCGUUGACCCUGCAGCCGCCCCUAGCCCGCGAGGUGCUCCUUGCUAACAUCGCGGAAGUGCCCACCUUGGGGCACAGGCUACUUCUGCCCAUGCUCCCCGCUGCCCCCCGGCUCCCUGCCCUCGGCGCUUGCCACACGCGUCCGGAGUAGUGAAUGAACGGCCGUGAGUGAAACCAUCAGGGCUUCAGCUGCAGAUAGAUCCAAAUAAGCACACGCUCCGGCCAGUCACCAUUACUCAGCAGUUCACCAUCUGUCCUGUCGUGUCCGCAAGGGUUAGAGAGUCGUGUGCGAGGGCGGGCCGCGACUCUCCGCCAACCUGGAUGAGAAUUUUCCUUGGCUGAGGACUCCAGGACGUGGACUCGCAGUUGCGCAGGGAGCUCUCGGCGGCGGGAUAGACGCAGUGAGCCUUGAAUUAACAUCUGACCCAGAAGUUCUUCAAAAGCCAGAGAUGAGGGCAGCCGGGGUGGCUCAGCGGUUUAACGCGCCUUCAGCCCAGGGCGUGAUCCUGGAGACCCGGAAUCGAGUCCCACGUCGGGCUCCCUGCGUGGAGCCUGCUUCUCCCUCCUUCUCCCUCUGCCUGUGUCUCUGCCUCUCUCUGUGUGUCUCUCAUGAAUAAAUAAAAUCU